This 391-nucleotide unclassified non-coding RNA is filed under the name soil metagenome. RNAcentral describes it as "partial contains 5.8S ribosomal RNA, internal transcribed spacer 2, and large subunit ribosomal RNA". The stretch from base 1 to 122 matches the Rfam family "5.8S ribosomal RNA", at positions 35 to 154 of the family's 154-position model. The record is from RNAcentral.
GAUGAAGAACGCAGCGAAAUGCGAUACUUGGUGUGAAUUGCAGAAUCCCGUGAACCAUCGAGUCUUUGAACGCAAGUUGCGCCCGUAGCCAUUAGGCCGAGGGCACGCCUGCCUGGGCGUCACACGUCGUUGCCCCCCCAUCUACUCCUUCGGGAUUGCGGGGGGCGGAUGAUGGCCUCCCGUGCGCCUCGUCGCGCGGUUGGCAUAAAUGCCAAGUCCUCGGCGACGCACGCCACGACAAUCGGUGGUUGCGAAACCUCGGUUGCCCGUCGUGUGCGGUCGUCGCGCAUCGAGGGCUCGAAAAAAUUGCCGGGCUCCGGCUCGGCUUUCAACGCGACCCCAGGUCAGGCGGGGUUACCCGCUGAAUUUAAGCAUAUCAAUAAGCGGAGGA